This 497-nucleotide ribosomal RNA is filed under the name uncultured bacterium. RNAcentral describes it as "partial 16S ribosomal RNA". It matches the Rfam family "Bacterial small subunit ribosomal RNA", at positions 28 to 507 of the family's 1533-position model. The record is from RNAcentral.
GACGAACGCUGGCGGCGUGCCUAAUACAUGCAAGUUGAGCGCUGAAGGUUGGUACUUGUACCAACUGGAUGAGCAGCGAACGGGUGAGUAACGCGUGGGGAAUCUGCCUUUGAGCGGGGGACAACAUUUGGAAACGAAUGCUAAUACCGCAUAAAAACUUUAAACACAAGUUUUAAGUUUGAAAGAUGCAAUUGCAUCACUCAAAGAUGAUCCCGCGUUGUAUUAGCUAGUUGGUGAGGUAAAGGCUCACCAAGGCGAUGAUACAUAGCCGACCUGAGAGGGUGAUCGGCCACAUUGGGACUGAGACACGGCCCAAACUCCUACGGGAGGCAGCAGUAGGGAAUCUUCGGCAAUGGACGAAAGUCUGACCGAGCAACGCCGCGUGAGUGAAGAAGGAUUUCGGAUCGUAAAACUCUGUUGGUAGAGAAGAACGUUGGUGAGAGUGGAAAGCUCAUCAAGUGACGGUAACUACCCAGAAAGGGACGGCUAACUACGUG